Long non-coding RNA from Oryzias latipes (Japanese medaka), 3997 nucleotides. RefSeq lists it as uncharacterized. NCBI's taxonomy places the organism in Eukaryota, Metazoa, Chordata, Actinopteri, Beloniformes, Adrianichthyidae. The record is from RefSeq and is a predicted model, not a curated record.
UCCUCGUGGGUGGAGAGCACCGCCAUCUUGGUGAGGUCAAGUCACUGCUGCAGCGCAUUCAUGUCAACACAGUUUUUGCAAAAGGACAGGUCAUUGUGCCGGUUUCAACUGUCAAAAUCUGAUAAAUUAGUCCACGAAGGAGAAAGGCAUAACAUUUUACAGGCAGGUCCUAAGCCAUGUCUUGAAUGGAGACAGGUGUGGCAGCGUCAGGCUUGGCUGUGGCCAGAGGAUUUGAACUCAGCUUUGAGAAACCAAAGGUACAUUUUAGCAGAAGGGGCAAUCAGUUUUUCACACGGGGCAAUAGAGGCAUAUUACAGUUUUUUAUUUAUAAAUUUAUUAUUAUUGUAAGGUUCAUAUUUUGUUUAGGAGGUUGACUGCCCUGGGGAUGAAACUGUUCUUAAGUCUGUUGGUGCGAGCCUUGUGAGAUCUGAACCGCCGGCCUGACGGUGGCAGUUGGAACAGGUGGUGGUUGGGAUUCAUGACUCUGCACUCCAAUCCACCAGUGUCACUUUUUACACAGAACAUAUUGUGGAAAGACAGAAAUUCUGCACCAUGGAUUUUCAUGAAGAAAAAAACAAAGAACAGAAACAUCUUUGACAAAAAUGAGAAGAAGUUCACCAAACUCCACCAAGUUGUCAUACUUGGUGACAACAGCGUGACCCUUCCUGUAACUUAGUCCAUUGUACAUGACAUCAUCUUUGUAUUUCUUUCAGUAAAGCUAAAAUGUAGAAGUGCAUUUUUAACUUCUUCACUUUAAAUCUCUGAGUGACCGUUUUAACUUGCACUGCUGGAGGACUCGCCGCCCCGGCGGAAAGGAAAGCCUAAAACAUCUGAUGUCUUUCUGAAAGAGUCAAACACAAAUGGAUAAAGUUUUUCUGAUGUCUGACACAUUUCUUGAAGUAACUAAGUUACUCCAUUGUCCACAGUCUGAUGAGUGGACCACAGUUGAGGAACAACCCUGAAUAAUGUCGUAAGUAGUGGUGUUUAGGUCUCAAGUUGAUGCAAGGAAACAGUGGCUGUCUGGAAACCAGUACCAGACAUCAGAAAAACUUUAUCCAUUUGUGUUUGACUCUUUCAGAAAGACAUCAGAUGUUUCAGGCUUUCCUGAUCCGGUCUUUUAUCCUUUUGUUUGAAAUAGCUGGAAAUCAAUCAAUCAAAUUCCAGUCAUUCAGUUCAACUCAAUUUUUCAUUCAUACAGCCCAACAUCACAACACAGUUGUCUCAACGAGCUUCACACCAGUGAUUGUGUGAAUUUGAUUGAUUUCCAGCCAUUUCAAACAAAAUGAUAGACCAUGGCAAUGCAUAGAUGUGUAAACUAUAUACAUUUUAUUUCACAAAUGGAUUAGAAAAUAAAAAUAUUUUUUUUCAUGUCUUCUUGAGAUUGUAAUGACUAUAAAUCACAAAUAGGCAUGUUAACAUCUAUACAUACAGCACUCACAUAAAUAUCACAUUGAAUCCAUUGAACGUAACAAUAGUCAAAUAGUUUGACUAAUUGUUUAAUAUACAUAAAAUUAAUAUUGCAUAAUCCCACCCACAUGUUUAAAGGUUUCUCCGUGUUGCAGUUACUCAGCUCUCCAUGACACGAUUUAAAACCUGACACAAUGAAACCAUCGCUGAUGCUGUCAGAGCGGACCGCCACCCAAAAACAGCUUCAAAGGGAGGGACGUGUCUUGAACAGUUUUUACUCCAGACGUCCAAACUGCAGCAGCUUGAAGGACUUUUUAUUGCUUUGAAGUUUCAUCCCUCGAUAUAGAUUGAUUGUGCUAUUGUCAUCUUUCAAACCGUUAAGUAAACAAAUUGUUCCUUAUUUGAAGUGGAUUUAGGUGAUCGAGUCUCGCCUGAGACUUGGGAACAGAAUGGACAGAACAAUAGUGGAAGGAAUUAAACCCCUGAUGAUGUGUUUCCGAGUUUUUUCCUCAGGUAUCAGGUUGGGGGUGGAGUGUCAUGCUGACACCACUAGAGGGCGGGAAAGAGCCUCUCCUCCUGUCUUUCUCAGGUGUUGCUCAGAGUCUGGGCUGGGUGGACUGUCUGGGAUCUCCUCCUCCUCCUCUCUGACAGUUUCCUCUUCAGAGUCUCUUGGAAUUUUGGACACAUGAAGAAGUAGAUGACGGGGUUGAGGCAGACGUUCAGCGCCGACAGGAAGAGCGUCACCUCCUUCAGGUGGUAAAGCACAACACUGUCCCUACAGCAGUCUUUUGACUCUUGUACCUGGCAGUGAGUGUACUGUAUGCGGCAGGCAUGGUACGGGACAAAGCAGAUGAAGAACACCACCAGGAUGAUGAAGAUGCUGCGGCUCGACCGGCCACAGGCACCGGUGCUGUCCUGGCAGAUGCGUGUCUGGGACCUGUACACCUCCAUGCCGAUGGAGCCGUAGCAGAAGGUCACAAUGACAAACGUCACCCAGAACAGAAUUGUAUUGAAAACGAUUAUCCCAGUGUGCCACUGAGCUCCAGCUGGUGUCUUCAGCAGCAUGCAGUCCUGGAAGUUCUUCCCCGUCGGGUCCUUGCUCGUCAUCACAACGUUAGGCAGCACGAUGGCGAGGAGGAUGACCCAGCUGAGGAGCACUACCACCCAAGCACAUCUGGUCUUCUCCAGAUAGCGCAGCAAGGAAACCACACUAAACCUGGGUGUGCAAGAGGCAGAGGACGAGGGGUGGACAAUCUUGGCGUAGCGCUCAAGGCUGAUAAAGCCGAUGAAGAUGAUUCCCAUGUACAAGCAUGUAUAGAAGAGCACAUCCGUGUAUCUGCAAGUGAUCACGUACAGAUCCUUGUUCUGGAAGCCCAGGUUAUCUGCCACUCUUAAGGGGAUGGUGAUUAGCAUGAGGAGGUCGGCCACCACCAUGUUCUGCAGGUACACCACCAGACCAGAAUCAGCACCAAGUCUGAGGAAGAUCCAGGCGACCAUGCAGUUGAGAGGAAGACCCACCACGAAGACAAGGCAGUAGAGCGAGGGCAGGACCCGAAGUGUGAAGACGCUGUCGAGGUCGGAGUUGUUGGUCUGGAUCUCCGUGGAGUAAUUCAUCCCUGCAAACACAACACCUUCAGAACAGAAGGGCCCUGACAAACAAUGUCUGCAGACAUAACAGCACAGAGACCGGAUCAAUUCUGUUCAAACCAGAAGGAUGACUGUCAAUCAGACAGCAGAAGACGGAAUACCAACCUUGGUGCCAUCAUGGACGAUUUACAUGAUAUGGACCUUCUUAUUUAACAUCACACCCAUGUCUUUAACUUGGUUCGUCUGUGACAAGGAAACUGACUUUGACCAAAAAUAAGAAACAAACAAAUAUAUACAUUUAUAAAUCAAUUAUUAAAAGUGAUUAAAACAAAAGCCUUUUCUAAUUAUAUCAAAAGACACUCCACUUUGUUUUUCAAUAUAUGGUUUCAAUGAUUUUGAUGAUCAUCAAUUACGUAAUAUACCUUUUUUCCAAUCAUGAGAAAUAUGCACCUAUUUGGAUACUUGAUCUGGAUAGGUUAUAAUGAUCCUGAAACAAUGCUUACGUAAUUAACAAGUACUUUAUAUCUGUCAUUUGAUCUAUGGAUAUUUAGGGAUACACCUGAAUCUGUGUUGGUAAAGUAUAAAAAACUGAAGUUAAGAAGCGGAUAAUGAUAAUUUAGGUUAAAAUCAAAGGUGAAGUAGAAAAGGGGGUUGGAUUAUAUAACUGGGACCUGGGUGGGUGGAGGGAGGAAUCUGCUGAGAGAGGAGUGCCAGCUGUAUGUGAUUGUCCUGUGUUUUCUGUUUGAAUUACUUUUCAUAUUUUAUGACUAUUGUAUUUGCUUUUAUGUAAAGCAAUUUGUGUUUUCAGCUGGAAUGAAAGGCGCUAUACAAAGAAAUACAGUUUGUGUCUAUUUAAAACUAAGGGAAACAUUUGAAUUAUUUACAAGGAUGUGUGGAUUCAUAUGUCUUUUCCUAUCAGUUUCAUGACCAGUUAUCCCAAGUUUGGUAUAUCUGUGUAUUCACUUUUGUUUUAAUAUCUUGAAAUAAACCAUUUCCAAAUCCA